AAUCAACGCUGGCGGCGUGCCUCAGACAUGCAAGUCGAACGAUUAAAGCUCUCUUCGGAGAGUGUAUAGAGUGGCGCACGGGUGAGUAACACGUAAGUAAUCUACCUUUGAGUGGGGAAUAACAGUCGGAAACGGCUGCUAAUACCGCAUAACGCAGCGGCACCGCAAGAUGACAGUUGUUAAAGAUUUAUCGCUUGAAGAGGAGCUUGCGGCAGAUUAGCUAGUUGGUAAGGUAAUGGCUUACCAAGGCUACGAUCUGUAACCGGUCUAAGAGGACGGUCGGUCACACUGACACUGAAUAACGGGUCAGACUCCUACGGGAGGCAGCAGUCGGGAAUUUUGGGCAAUGGGGGAAACCCUGACCCAGCAACGCCGCGUGAAGGAUGAAGUAUUUCGGUAUGUAAACUUCGAAAGAAUAGGAAGAAUAAAUGACGGUACUAUUUAUAAGGUCCGGCUAACUACGUGCCAGCAGCCG
This 475-nucleotide ribosomal RNA is filed under the name uncultured bacterium. RNAcentral's name for it is "bacterial SSU rRNA". It matches the Rfam family "Bacterial small subunit ribosomal RNA", at positions 32 to 517 of the family's 1533-position model. The record is from RNAcentral.